CUCUUCGGAGAAGAGCGGCGGACGGGUGAGUAACGCGUGGGUAACCUGCCUCAUACACAUGGAUAACAUACCGAAAGGUAUGCUAAUACAGGAUAACAUAAGAGAUUCGCAUGUUUCUCUUAUCAAAGCUCCGGCGGUAUGAGAUGGACCCGCGUCUGAUUAGCUAGUUGGUAAGGUAAUGGCUUACCAAGGCGACGAUCAGUAGCCGACCUGAGAGGGUGAUCGGCCACAUUGGAACUGAGACACGGUCCAAACUCCUACGGGAGGCAGCAGUGGGGAAUAUUGCACAAUGGGCGAAAGCCUGAUGCAGCAACGCCGCGUGAGUGAUGAAGGCCUUCGGGUCGUAAAACUCUGUCCUCAAGGAAGAUAAUGACGGUACUUGAGGAGGAAGCCCCGGCUAACUACGUGCCAGCAGCCGCGGUAAUACGUAGGGGGCUAGCGUUAUCCGGAUUUACUGGGCGUAAAGGGUGCGUAGGUGGUUUCUUAAGUCAGGAGUGAAAGGCUACGGCUUAACCGUAGUAAGCUCUUGAAACUGGGAAACUUGAGUGCAGGAGAGGAAAGUGGAAUUCCUAGUGUAGCGGUGAAAUGCGUAGAUAUUAGGAGGAACACCAGUAGCGAAGGCGGCUUUCUGGACUGUA
RNAcentral lists this ribosomal RNA (638 nucleotides) under uncultured Clostridium sp. RNAcentral describes it as "bacterial SSU rRNA". It matches the Rfam family "Bacterial small subunit ribosomal RNA", at positions 72 to 738 of the family's 1533-position model. Lineage: Bacteria; Bacillati; Bacillota; Clostridia; Eubacteriales; Clostridiaceae. The record is from RNAcentral.